RNAcentral lists this ribosomal RNA (2040 nucleotides) under human metagenome. RNAcentral describes it as "bacterial LSU rRNA". It matches the Rfam family "Bacterial large subunit ribosomal RNA", at positions 3 to 2121 of the family's 2925-position model. The record is from RNAcentral.
UCAAGCUAUAAAGAGCGUAGGGAGAAUGACUUGGCAUCAGGAGCCGAAGAAGGACGUGACAAGCUGCGAAAAGCUGCGGUUAGGAGCAAAUAUCCAUAGACCCGCAGAUAUCCGAAUGGGGAAACCCGGUACGGCAAUACCGUAUCACUGCAUGGUAAAUACAUAGCCAUGUGGAGGAAACCCUCUGAACUGAAACAUCUAAGUAGGAGGAGGAAGAGAAAGAAACAUCGAUUUCCUAAGUAGCGGCGAGCGAAAGGGAAAGAGGCCAAACCAGAGAUAGCAAUAUCUUUGGGGUUGCGGACUGCAUAAUUGAUUUAACAUCUUUAGCAGAAGUGUAUGGGAAGACACACCAUAGUAGGUAAUAGUCCUGUAAGCGAAAGGGAUGUUAACAUGGCAGUAUCCAGAGUACCACCGGACACGAGGAACCCGGUGGGAAGCCGGGGGGACCACCCCCCAAGCCUAAAUACUACCUGAUGACCGAUAGUGAAAAGUACAGUGAUGGAAAGUUGAAAAGAACCCCGGAAGGGGAGUGAAAAAGAAUCUGAAACCCUAUGUUUACAAGCUGCUAAAGCACUAUAUAUGUGCGAUAGCGUACUUUUUGUAGAACGGUCCGGCGAGUGUAUGUUGCAAGCGAGGUUAAGGUGUUAAGCACUGAAGCCGAAGGGAGACCGAGUGUGAAUAGCGCGUACAGUUUGCAGUAUACGACCCGAAACCGGGUGACCUAACCAUGGACAGGUUGAAGUGGAAGUAAAAUUCCAUGGAGGACCGAACCCACGUCUGUUGAAAAAGGCGGGGAUGAGCUGUGGUUAGCGGUGAAAUUCCAAUCGAACUCGGAUAUAGCUGGUUCUCAUCGAAAUAGCUUUAGGGCUAGCCUCAGGAUAGUUUAGCGGAGGUAAAGCACUGAAUGGGCUAGGGGGCUUCACGGCUUACCGAACCCUAUCAAACUCUGAAUGCCGCAUAAAUGUUUCCUGGGAGUCAGACUGCGUGAGAUAAGUUUCGUAGUCAAAAGGGAAAGAGCCCAGACCUACAGCUAAGGUCCCUAAAUGAAUUUAAGUGGAAAAGGAUGUGCAGUUGCGUAGACAACUAGGACGUUGGCUUAGAAGCAGCCACUCAUUUAAAGAGUGCGUAAUAGCUCACUAGUCGAGUGAUUGUGCGCCGAAAAUGUAACGGGGCUAAAAUUCAUACCGAAGCUUAGGAAUGAUAGUAAUAUUGUUGGUAGAUGAGCGUUGUGUAAGCCUGAGAAGCUACACCGAAAGGAGUAGUGGAGGUAUCACAAGUGAGAAUGCCGGAAUGAGUAGCGAGAAUUAUGUGAGAAUCAUAAUGGUCGAAAACCUAAGGUUUCUUGAGGAAGGUUCGUCCGCUCAAGGUAAGCCGGGAGCUAAGGCGAGGCCGAGAGGCGUAGUCGAUGCACAUACGGUAAAGAUUCCGUAGCCACCGAAGUCGUUAAAUACAGGGACACAGGAACAUAGCCUAACCCCACCGUUGGUUGAGUGGGGCGUAAGGGAGCGAAAAUUAGUAGCGAAGUGGGUGAUUGUACACUGGCGAGAAAAGCUGUAUGAAUUGACAAGGUGCCCGUACCGCAAACCGACACAGGUAGAUGAGGAGAGAAUCCUAAGACCAGCGGGAGAAGUGUUGUUAAGGAACUCGGCAAAAUGACCCCGUAACUUCGGGAUAAGGGGAGCCUACGCGAGUAGGCCGCAGAGAAUAGUCUCAAGCGACUGUUUAGCAAAAACACAGGUCUAUGCUAAAUCGAAAGAUGAUGUAUAUGGGCUGACGCCUGCCCGGUGCUGGAAGGUUAAGGGGAAGUGUUAGAGCAAUCGAAGCACUGAACUUAAGCCCCAGUAAACGGCGGCCGUAACUAUAACGGUCCUAAGGUAGCGAAAUUCCUUGUCAGGUAAGUUCUGACCCGCACGAAUGGCGUAACGAUUUGGGCACUGUCUCAACAGCCCACCCGGCGAAAUUGUAGUACCGGUGAAGAUGCCGGUUACCCGCAACUAGACGGAAAGACCCCAUGGAGCUUUACUGCAGCUUAAUACUGAA